Scatophagus argus is the source of this 2044-nucleotide RNA transcript. It is a transcript of the gene named 5'-nucleotidase, cytosolic II, like 1, with no coding region annotated. Lineage: Eukaryota; Metazoa; Chordata; Actinopteri; Scatophagidae. The transcript has 18 exons. The record is from RefSeq and is a predicted model, not a curated record.
CCAAAAAUUUGGGUAGAUUUGGUGAUUUAAAUCCCUCUUCACUGACCAACAGCAAAAAGUGCUUACAGCAGAGCAGUUGCACGUGAAUGCAACAGCAGGCUUCGGAUUCAAGUUUGUAGCAAUGGACGCAAUGGACACAGAUCUCAGCAUCUCCUCUGAUGGGCUCCUGGUGAAGAGCGGCGUUGAACAAAAGGUGUUUGUCAACAGAAGUCUGACUCUGGAAAACAUCAAAUGUUAUGGUUUUGACAUGGACUACACGAUGGCAAUGUAUAAGUCCCCUGACUACGAGAGCCUGGGCUUUGAGCUGAUAAGAGACAGAAUGGUGUCUAUUGGAUACCCACACGAGCUUCUACGCUACACUUAUGACCCCAGCUUUCCCACACGCGGUUUAGUGAUCGACACCACAUACGGAAACCUUCUGAAGGUGGACUCAAAUGGGAAUAUUUUAGUCUGCAGUCAUGGCUUCCACUUCCUCAAAGGGGCAGACAUUCACAAAUACUACCCCAACAAGUUCAUUCAAAGAGAUGACACCGAACGUUUCUACAUCCUUAACACGCUCUUCAAUCUUUCAGAAACUUAUCUUUACUCCUGCCUUGUGGACUUCUUCACCAGAUGCACCAGAUACACAAACAUCCUGAAAGGUUACCAGCACGGUGACUUGUUUAUGUCCUACAGAAGCAUGUUCCAAGAUGUUCGAGACGCUAUGGACUUCAUUCACGAUACGGGGAUCCUGAAAGAACGAACUCUCAAGAAUUUGGAGAAAUAUGUUGUCAAUGAUCCAAAUCUCCCAGUACUCUUGACUCGAAUUAAAGAGGUGGCCAAGGUCUUCCUCGCCACCAACAGUGACUAUAACUACACAGAGGCCAUUAUGAAAUACCUGCUUGAAAGUAAUGCUAAGUCUGGAAGUCCAAAAAAGUCCUGGCGGAGCUUCUUUGAUCUGAUCGUUGUGGACACCAGAAAGCCACUGUUUUUUGCAGAGGGGACAGUGCUGAGACAAGUGGAUACAGACACAGGAAAGCUUCGGAUCGGGACUUACACAGGUGACCUCCAGCAUGGGACUGUUUACUCAGGAGGAUCUUCUGACAUCGUCUGCGAUCUGCUGGGUGUCAAAGGUAAGGACAUCCUCUACGUCGGCGACCACAUUUUUGGCGACAUCCUCAAAUCUAAGAAACGUCAGGGAUGGAAGACUUUUCUGGUUGUGCCGGAGCUCGCUAAGGAGCUGCAAGUGUGGGAGGAGAAGAAAAAUCUGUUUGAAGAGCUGAAAUGUCUUGACAUCUUCUUAGCUGAGCAAUACAAGCACAUGGACAGCAGCAGUCGAGUGAGUAUCGACAUCGGCACCAUUCAGAUGAGGAUGAAGGAUUUUUCUCCCCCUGUGUUUACAGGUGCUGACCUACAGAAUGGACAUGUCCUAUGGCCAGAUGGGCAGCCUCCUGCGAAGCGGCUCGAGACAGACUCUGUUUGCCAGCCAGCUGAUGCGUUAUGCAGACCUGUACUCGUCCACCUGCAUGAACCUGCUGCAUUACCCCUUCAAUUACCUCUUCAUGGCUCCCCCAGUCCUGAUGCCCCACGAGGCAGUGUCUCAGAACACGGCUGACUUCGCCUCAUCAGAGCUCACUGUCGCCAACAAUAUUAUCACAACGAAGAGAAACUGAGCUGUCCCAGAUGUUUUCGAAGAGAAGACAUGACAAGAUGCUGCAGGGAAGUCUUAUGAUGUGUCAUGUGGACAGUUCUCACUGAUGAAGGUCUUUGCACCUGUGCUUGUAUAAAGGCUUUGAUGCGGACUUGAUGAAACUAACUAACUAUUGUUAUGCCAUUUAACGUUUACUCAAUAAACUUAUAAAGUAUUUUGAAAUUUAGGAUUCAUAACAGACUCAGGGUUACUGUAUAGGAUUGCAAAUUUGUCUUAAUGAAUUACAUGCAGUGGUGCGUAUGCACUGUUAAUCUCAGGUUUGUCUAAUGGUUUUUAAGUUUUAUUUAUUUGUUGUUUGUGCAAUUUCUGUUGACAUUCAAUAAACAAUAUGAUUUGUUUUAAUUAUUUACUGAA